AGAUAACACUCCAAGAGCACAUGGUGGAUGCCUAGACAUCACAUAACGAAGAAGGACGUAGUAGCCUGCGAAAAGCCUCGGUUAGGUGGCAAGCAACCUUUGACCCGGGGAUCUCCGAAUGGGUAAACCCACUGCAUGGAAGAUGCAGUAUCCUUAUUUUAUAAGGAAGACUACCUGGUGAAGUGAAACAUCUCAGUAGCCAGAGGAAAAGAAACCAAUAGGUAUUCCCUUAGUAGUGGCGAGCGAAAAGGGAGGAGUCUAAACCAUAUAAUCCGGAAAUUUGGUUCGGUAUAUCUGUAGCAAUACAUAUAUAUCUGCUAAAUGGACGGCAAUCGGGCUAAAGGAUUAUAUGGGGUCGUGGGACCGUAUCGUGGGUACGCUGAUUCGUGCCCGAUAAUGAUAUAGAUUAGUAACACAAGCGUCUGGAAAGACGCGCCAAAGAAGGUGAAAGCCCUGUAUGUGAAACUACUCUGUAUAUUGUAGAUAUGAGUUCCCAAGUACCACGCGCCUCGUGAAAGCGAGUGGGAAUCCGCCGGGACUAUCCGGUAAGACUAAAUAUAUGUGAUGAUCGAUAGUGAACUAGUACCGUGAGGGAAAGGUGAAAAGUAGCCCGGAAGGGCGAUGAAAUAGUAUCUGAAACCAUGUGCUUACAAUGAGUCGAAGCCCCGUAAGGGGUGACGGCGUUCCUAUUGAAGAAUGAGCCAACGAGUUUGCUGUACGUUGCCUGUUUAAUUUGCGCAAGCAAAGUAGGCGUAGGGAAACCGAGUCUUAACCGGCGACAUCUCUUUUAUGAGUUUGGCCUGUGUAUACAACGCCAAGCCCAUAGGAGAGAUAAUCGCAGCGUACACAAGACACGAAACCGGGUGAGCUAGCCUUGGCCAGGGUGAGUCCCUUAGAAAUAAGGGAGGAGGCCCGAACCCACAUGCUGUGCAACACAUGGGGAUGAGCUGAGGUUAGGGGAGAAAUUCCAACCGAACUCGGUGAUAGCUUGUUUUCCUCGAAACAGUUUUUGGACUGGCCUUCUUGUGGCAGCCAGAGGUAGAGCACUGAAUGGGGAUGGGUGGAGAAAUCCUACCAUUCCUAACCAAACUCCGAAUGCUGGUAUUGCUAUACAAGGGGAGUUAGACUAUGGGGGCUAAGCUCCAUCAGUCAAAAGGGAAACAGCCCAGAUCGCCAUCUAAGGUCCCUAAAUCCAUAUUAAGUGUAAAAGGCAGUGUCGCGACUCUGACAAUCAGGAGGUUGGCUUAGAGGCAGCCAUCCUUUAAAGAAAGCGUAACAGCUCACUGAUCAAGUUGUUUCGCGCCAAAAAUAUACCGGGGCUAAAUAUGGUACCGAAGAUGCGGGUGUUAUCGUUUACGAUAACACGGUAGAGGAACGUUCCCAACGGCGUUGAAGCGGCAGCCGUGAGGCACCGUGGAGUGUUGGGAAGUGCGAAUGUUGGCAUAAGUAGCAAAAAGUGAAGUGAGAACCUUCACCACCGAAAAUCCAAGGUUUCCUGGGCAACGCAAAUCGCCCCAGGGUUAGUCGAGUCCUAAGGCGAGUCCUCGUAUAAUGAGGGGUAGUCGAUGGAUAACAGGUUAAUAUUCCUGUACUACAUAAUGAUUUCGAUGCGGGACACGGUAUCAAGCUCCAAGCGCAUUUUGGUUAUAUGCGUCUAACCCGUUGUAAUACGGGGAGUGCGAGUGGGUAGCAAUACUCGCGAGUUGGGGGGCGAAGCCGUCAAGAAAAGCGCUAAGAGUUAAUCAUUGUGUACUCGUACCGCAAACCGACACAGGUGGAUGGGUUGAGAAUACUAAGGUGCACGAGAGAACCCUUGUUCAGGAACUCGGCAAAAAAGCUAGGCGUAACUUCGGGAUAUGCCUUGCCUACCGCAAGGUAGGCCGCAGCUAAC
Molecule: ribosomal RNA, 1891 nt
Filed under: bacterium
Lineage: Bacteria
Description: partial 23S ribosomal RNA
Rfam family: Bacterial large subunit ribosomal RNA
Source: RNAcentral